ACAUAUCCUAAUGAGUUAAAUAUUUAUAUUAGGUGAUGCCUGCCCAGUGAAGAAAAAAUAAAAAUUCAUAUUUUAACGGCCGCAGUACUCUAACUGUGCUAAGGUAGCAUAAUUAAUUGGCUUUUAAUUGAAGUCUGUAUGAAUGGCUAAACGUAGAAUUUCUGUCUUUGGAAAGCUUUCAUAAAAUUAUUUAAUAGGUGAAAAUACCUAUUAGUAGAGAAAAGACGAGAAGACCCUAAGAAUUUAUAAUUAAAAUUUUGUUGGGGCAACACUGAAUCAAAUUUGAAAAAUCUUCAGAAAAAAUAAAAUUAUAUUUCCGAAAAUAAAAAUGUUUCGUGUAUAUUUAAAUUACCUUAGGGAUAACAGCAUAAUUUUUAUUAAAGAUUGUGACCUCGAUGUUGGACUAAGGUAUCUUUGAGUAGAAUUCUAAGUUUUUAGCUCUGUUCGAGCAAAUUAAACCUUACGUGAUCUGA
This 473-nucleotide ribosomal RNA is filed under the name Turbonilla sp. EED-Phy-526. RNAcentral's name for it is "partial 16S ribosomal RNA". It matches the Rfam family "Bacterial large subunit ribosomal RNA", at positions 1813 to 2608 of the family's 2925-position model. The record is from RNAcentral. Lineage: Eukaryota; Metazoa; Mollusca; Gastropoda; Pyramidellidae.